CAAGUCGAGCGGGAUUUUUUCCUGUAGCAAUACAGGGAAAAGUCUAGCGGCGAACGGGUGCUUAACACGUGGGCAAUCUGCCGAGAAGUGGGGGAUAGCUCGCCGAAAGGCGAAUUAAUACCGCAUGUGAUCAGAGUGGACAUCCAUUCAAAAUCAAAGUCGGGGCAACCUGACGCUUCUUGAGGAGCCCGCGGCCUAUCAGCUAGUUGGUGAGGUAACGGCCCACCAAGGCUUAGACGGGUAGCUGGUCUGAGAGGACGACCAGCCACACUGGGACUGAGACACGGCCCAGACGCCUACGGGUGGCAGCAGUCGAGAAUUUUUCUCAAUGGGGGAAACCCUGAAGGAGCGACGCCGCGUGGAGGAUGAAGGUCUUCGGAUUGUAAACUCCUGUCAUUGGGGAACAAUGCGUAAAUAUUAACUGUAUUUGCGUUGAUAGUACCCGAAGAGGAAGGGACGGCUAACUCUGUGCCAGCAGCCGCGGUAAUACAGAGGUCCCAAGCGUUGUUCGGAUUCAUUGGGCGUAAAGGGUGCGUAGGCGGCGCGGUAAGUCGGGUGUGAAAUCUCGGAGCUUAACUCCGAAACUGCAUUCGAUACUGCCGUGCUUGAGGACUGGAGAGGAGACUGGAAUUUACGGUGUANCGGUGAAAUGCGUANAUAUCGUAAGGAAGACCAGUGGCGAAGGCGGGUCUCUGGACAGUUCCUGACGCUGAGGCACGAAGGCCAGGGGAGCAAACGGGAUUAGAUACCCCGGUAGUCCUGGCAGUAAACGGUGCACGUUUGGUGUGGGAAGGAUU
Molecule: ribosomal RNA, 797 nt
Filed under: uncultured Verrucomicrobiota bacterium
Lineage: Bacteria; Pseudomonadati; Verrucomicrobiota
Description: bacterial SSU rRNA
Rfam family: Bacterial small subunit ribosomal RNA
Source: RNAcentral